GGCCCCAUCGUCUAGCGGCCCAGGACAUCAGGUUCUCAUCCUGGAAACACCGGUUCGACUCCGGUUGGGGCCA
This 73-nucleotide transfer RNA is filed under the name Candidatus Nealsonbacteria bacterium RBG_13_42_11. RNAcentral describes it as "tRNA-Glu". It matches the Rfam family "tRNA". From Rfam's summary of the family: Transfer RNA (tRNA) molecules are approximately 80 nucleotides in length. Their secondary structure includes four short double-helical elements and three loops (D, anti-codon, and T loops). Further hydrogen bonds mediate the characteristic L-shaped molecular structure. tRNAs have two regions of fundamental functional importance: the anti-codon, which is responsible for specific mRNA codon recognition, and the 3' end, to which the tRNAs corresponding amino acid is attached (by aminoacyl-tRNA synthetases). tRNAs cope with the degeneracy of the genetic code in two manners: having more than one tRNA (with a specific anti-codon) for a particular amino acid; and 'wobble' base-pairing, i.e. permitting non-standard base-pairing at the 3rd anti-codon position. The record is from RNAcentral. Lineage: Bacteria; Candidatus Nealsoniibacteriota.